This is a long non-coding RNA of Cercocebus atys (sooty mangabey), 506 nucleotides long. RefSeq lists it as uncharacterized. The transcript is spliced from 3 exons. The record is from RefSeq and is a predicted model, not a curated record. Lineage: Eukaryota; Metazoa; Chordata; Mammalia; Primates; Cercopithecidae.
ACCCAGUUCAAACUUCCCAGUGGCUUUGUUUACACUGUAUUUAUGAAGUCAUACCACUUACCAGGCAACAAUCAUUUUUCUAAGAACUGGAGAUACAGCAAUGAGGAAGACAGAGGCCCAACCUUGGUUUUACUUCCUCAGGAGAUGACCUUCAGGCCUCUCAGGAAAAGUAUCAAGAACUGAAACUCAUCAGAUAAGCACAUCCAGAUAAUGAGAUGUGGGCCUCCUCAUUCCUCGUGAUUGCUUCCUUGCUCCUCCUUAGUUCCUACUUUCUUAUACGUUGUUACAUUUUUUCCCUGUGAUGUAAACCCCUAGUUUUAGUGGGUCAGGGAGAUGGGUUUGAGACUGAGCUCCCAUGUUCUUGACUGCAGCACCCAAAAUUAAAGCCUUCUUCCUUGGCAAUAAUUGUUAUGUCAAUGAUUGACUUUCUGUGCUAUGGAAAACAGGAGCUAGACCAAAGCCCUGGUGUUUCAGUAACACAAGCAUUUUCUAUAUCUUUUUUUUUU